GAUGAACGCUGGCGGCGUGCCUAAUACAUGCAAGUCGAGCGAACGGACGAGAAGCUUGCUUUUCUGAUGUUAGCGGCGGACGGGUGAGUAACACGUGGAUAACCUACCUAUAAGACUGGGAUAACUUCGGGAAACCGGAGCUAAUACCGGAUAAUAUUUUGAACCGCAUGGUUCAAAAGUGAAAGACGGUCUUGCUGUCACUUAUAGAUGGAUCCGCGCUGCAUUAGCUAGUUGGUAAGGUAACGGCUUACCAACGCUACGAUGCAUAGCCGACCUGAGAGGGAGAACGGCCACACUGUAACUGAGACACGGUCCAGACACCUACGGGGGGCAGCAGUAGGGAAUCUUACGCGAUGGGCGAAAGCCUGACGGAGCAACGCCGCGUGAGUGAUGAAGGUCUUCGGAUCGGAAAGCGCUGAUAUUAGGGAAGAACACAUGUGUAAGUAACUGUGCACAUCUUGACGGUACCUAGUCAGAAAGCCACGGCUAACUACGUG
Molecule: ribosomal RNA, 497 nt
Filed under: uncultured bacterium
Lineage: Bacteria
Description: partial 16S ribosomal RNA
Rfam family: Bacterial small subunit ribosomal RNA
Source: RNAcentral